Molecule: long non-coding RNA, 729 nt
Organism: Aegilops tauschii subsp. strangulata
Lineage: Eukaryota; Viridiplantae; Streptophyta; Magnoliopsida; Poales; Poaceae
Source: RefSeq, a predicted model, not a curated record
UCCACAAGUUAAGACCCAGCGGCAAGUAGUGCAUGCCCAUUCACCCUCACAUCAACCGCGUCCGCACCGCUGCGUUGACGAGCCACGUCGCUCCUCCUCCUCCUGGUUAGUGCGCUCGCCAUUGCUCAACCUCCCCUCAGUCUAUUAUCACUGCUAGCUUCGAUCCACAGCUUGCUACGUGCUAGUGUCUAGAGACACCCCUAUUCAACCCAAACUAGUAUCUGUUCCUCUUCAUGCUGCACUUCGGGAUCUGAUUUGUGUGCAAGAGCUCGGGUAAUCUGUUGUGCAUCUAGCAGGGCGCGUGCAGGAAGAUGAGUCAUGCGAGUGUUCUGCCAAGGCAUCUCUCGUAUGAUUUGUUAGGAGAAAUUACUAAUGGUUUCUCCAAAGACCGGGAGCUUGGUAGGGGCAGCUACGCCACAGUCUAUCUGGGUGUGAGGUGUUCAACAGGGUGUGAAUAAAGAUGGGAAAAGAUUGCUGUGAAGGCAUGAACCUCUCUGGCCGAGGCGAUCGUUUGUAGUGGUGGGUGUCAUCGCCUUCCCGCCACUGGUGACAGUCCACCUAUAAGCAGCUUUUCAGCAGUGUGUGUCGGCAUGCAUGCCAAGAAAUCAAAGUCAAUCACCUCUCUGGCCGAAGCUCCACCUUACUGCAGUACGGUGUGUCAUCUCUAUGUAAACCACAACCUACAUCUGUUUUAAUUUAAUACGACUAUGUGUGUUUCAACUCUCCCUA